This 726-nucleotide ribosomal RNA is filed under the name uncultured Microbacteriaceae bacterium. Its description in RNAcentral is "bacterial SSU rRNA". It matches the Rfam family "Bacterial small subunit ribosomal RNA", at positions 56 to 794 of the family's 1533-position model. Lineage: Bacteria; Bacillati; Actinomycetota; Actinomycetes; Micrococcales; Microbacteriaceae. The record is from RNAcentral.
UGCAGUCGAACGAUGAAGCUGGAGCUUGCUCCGGUGGAUUAGUGGCGAACGGGUGAGUAACACGUGAGAAAUCUGCCCCUGACUCUGGGAUAACUGCGGGAAACUGUAGCUAAUACCGGAUACUUUCCCUGGUGGGCAUCCACUGGGGAAGAAAGAAUUUCGGUCAGGGAGGAUCUCGCGGCCUAUCAGCUAGUUGGUGAGGUAACGGCUCACCAAGGCGACGACGGGUAACCGGCCUGAGAGGGUGACCGGUCACACUGGGACUGAGACACGGCCCAGACUCCUACGGGAGGCAGCAGUGGGGAAUAUUGCACAAUGGGCGCAAGCCUGAUGCAGCAACGCCGCGUGAGGGAUGAAGGCCUUCGGGUUGUAAACCUCUUUUAGCAGGGAAGAAGCGAAAGUGACGGUACCUGCAGAAAAAGCACCGGCUAACUACGUGCCAGCAGCCGCGGUAAUACGUAGGGUGCAAGCGUUGUCCGGAAUUAUUGGGCGUAAAGAGCUCGUAGGCGGUUUGUCACGUCUGCUGUGAAAAUCCAAGGCUCAACCUUGGACUUGCAGUGGGUACGGGCAGGCUAGAGUGCGGUAGGGGAGAUGGGAAUUCCUGGUGUAGCGGUGGAAUGCGCAGAUAUCAGGAGGAACACCAAUGGCGAAGGCACAUCUCUGGGCCGUAACUGACGCUGAGGAGCGAAAGCGUGGGGAGCGAACAGGAUUAGAUACCCUGGUAGA